RNAcentral lists this transfer RNA (75 nucleotides) under Gemmatimonadaceae bacterium. RNAcentral's name for it is "tRNA-Met". It matches the Rfam family "tRNA". Rfam says of the family: Transfer RNA (tRNA) molecules are approximately 80 nucleotides in length. The record is from RNAcentral. Lineage: Bacteria; Pseudomonadati; Gemmatimonadota; Gemmatimonadia; Gemmatimonadales; Gemmatimonadaceae.
UGCGGGGUGGACCAGUGGCAGGUCGCCAGGCUCAUAACCUGGAAGGCGAGGGUUCAAUUCCUUCCCCCGCAACCA